AUUGAACGCUGGCGGCAUGCCUUACACAUGCAAGUCGAACGGUAACAGGUCUUCGGAUGCUGACGAGUGGCGAACGGGUGAGUAAUACAUCGGAACGUGCCUAGUAGUGGGGGAUAACUACUCGAAAGAGUGGCUAAUACCGCAUGAGAUCUACGGAUGAAAGCAGGGGAUCGCACGACCUCGUGCUACUAUAGCGGCCGAUGGCAGAUUAGGUAGUUGGUGGGAUAAAAGCUUACCAAGCCGACGACCUGUAGUUGGUCUGAGAGGACGAUCAGCCACACUGGGACUGAGACACGGCCCAGACUCCUACGGGAGGCAGCAGUGGGGAAUUUUGGACAAUGGGCGAAAGCCUGAUCCAGCAAUGCCGCGUGCAGGAUGAAGGCCUUCGGGUUGUAAACUGCUUUUGUACGGAACGAAAAGCCCCGGGUUAAUACCCUGGGGUCAUGACGGUACCGUAAGAAUAAGCACCGGCUAACUACGUGCCAGCCGCCGCCGUAA
Molecule: ribosomal RNA, 498 nt
Filed under: uncultured bacterium
Lineage: Bacteria
Description: partial 16S ribosomal RNA
Rfam family: Bacterial small subunit ribosomal RNA
Source: RNAcentral